This 262-nucleotide ribosomal RNA is filed under the name uncultured bacterium. RNAcentral describes it as "partial 16S ribosomal RNA". It matches the Rfam family "Bacterial small subunit ribosomal RNA", at positions 100 to 354 of the family's 1533-position model. The record is from RNAcentral.
CAACGGGUGAGUAACACGUGGGCAAACCUGCCCAAAAGAGGGGGGAUAACACUUGGAAACAGGUGCUAAUACCGCAUAACCAUAGUUACCGCAUGGUAACUAUGUAAAAGGUGGCUAUGCUACCGCUUUUGGAUGGGCCCGCGGCGCAUUAGCUAGUUGGUGGGGUAAAGGCUUACCAAGGCAAUGAUGCGUAGCCGAACUGAGAGGUUGAUCGGCCACAUUGGGACUGAGACACGGCCCAAACUCCUACGGAAGGCAGCAG